RNAcentral lists this ribosomal RNA (2758 nucleotides) under Escherichia coli. RNAcentral describes it as "partial 23S ribosomal RNA". It matches the Rfam family "Bacterial large subunit ribosomal RNA". Lineage: Bacteria; Pseudomonadati; Pseudomonadota; Gammaproteobacteria; Enterobacterales; Enterobacteriaceae. The record is from RNAcentral. RNAcentral also lists the same sequence under 1 other name.
CAUAGGUUAAUGAGGCGAACCGGGGGAACUGAAACAUCUAAGUACCCCGAGGAAAAGAAAUCAACCGAGAUUCCCCCAGUAGCGGCGAGCGAACGGGGAGGAGCCCAGAGCCUGAAUCAGUGUGUGUGUUAGUGGAAGCGUCUGGAAAGGCGCGCGAUACAGGGUGACAGCCCCGUACACAAAAAUGCACAUGCUGUGAGCUCGAUGAGUAGGGCGGGACACGUGGUAUCCUGUCUGAAUAUGGGGGGACCAUCCUCCAAGGCUAAAUACUCCUGACUGACCGAUAGUGAACCAGUACCGUGAGGGAAAGGCGAAAAGAACCCCGGCGAGGGGAGUGAAAAAGAACCUGAAACCGUGUACGUACAAGCAGUGGGAGCACGCUUAGGCGUGUGACUGCGUACCUUUUGUAUAAUGGGUCAGCGACUUAUAUUCUGUAGCAAGGUUAACCGAAUAGGGGAGCCGAAGGGAAACCGAGUCUUAACUGGGCGUUAAGUUGCAGGGUAUAGACCCGAAACCCGGUGAUCUAGCCAUGGGCAGGUUGAAGGUUGGGUAACACUAACUGGAGGACCGAACCGACUAAUGUUGAAAAAUUAGCGGAUGACUUGUGGCUGGGGGUGAAAGGCCAAUCAAACCGGGAGAUAGCUGGUUCUCCCCGAAAGCUAUUUAGGUAGCGCCUCGUGAAUUCAUCUCCGGGGGUAGAGCACUGUUUCGGCAAGGGGGUCAUCCCGACUUACCAACCCGAUGCAAACUGCGAAUACCGGAGAAUGUUAUCACGGGAGACACACGGCGGGUGCUAACGUCCGUCGUGAAGAGGGAAACAACCCAGACCGCCAGCUAAGGUCCCAAAGUCAUGGUUAAGUGGGAAACGAUGUGGGAAGGCCCAGACAGCCAGGAUGUUGGCUUAGAAGCAGCCAUCAUUUAAAGAAAGCGUAAUAGCUCACUGGUCGAGUCGGCCUGCGCGGAAGAUGUAACGGGGCUAAACCAUGCACCGAAGCUGCGGCAGCGACGCUUAUGCGUUGUUGGGUAGGGGAGCGUUCUGUAAGCCUGUGAAGGUGUGCUGUGAGGCAUGCUGGAGGUAUCAGAAGUGCGAAUGCUGACAUAAGUAACGAUAAAGCGGGUGAAAAGCCCGCUCGCCGGAAGACCAAGGGUUCCUGUCCAACGUUAAUCGGGGCAGGGUGAGUCGACCCCUAAGGCGAGGCCGAAAGGCGUAGUCGAUGGGAAACAGGUUAAUAUUCCUGUACUUGGUGUUACUGCGAAGGGGGGACGGAGAAGGCUAUGUUGGCCGGGCGACGGUUGUCCCGGUUUAAGCGUGUAGGCUGGUUUUCCAGGCAAAUCCGGAAAAUCAAGGCUGAGGCGUGAUGACGAGGCACUACGGUGCUGAAGCAACAAAUGCCCUGCUUCCAGGAAAAGCCUCUAAGCAUCAGGUAACAUCAAAUCGUACCCCAAACCGACACAGGUGGUCAGGUAGAGAAUACCAAGGCGCUUGAGAGAACUCGGGUGAAGGAACUAGGCAAAAUGGUGCCGUAACUUCGGGAGAAGGCACGCUGAUAUGUAGGUGAAGCGACUUGCUCGUGGAGCUGAAAUCAGUCGAAGAUACCAGCUGGCUGCAACUGUUUAUUAAAAACACAGCACUGUGCAAACACGAAAGUGGACGUAUACGGUGUGACGCCUGCCCGGUGCCGGAAGGUUAAUUGAUGGGGUCAGCGCAAGCGAAGCUCUUGAUCGAAGCCCCGGUAAACGGCGGCCGUAACUAUAACGGUCCUAAGGUAGCGAAAUUCCUUGUCGGGUAAGUUCCGACCUGCACGAAUGGCGUAAUGAUGGCCAGGCUGUCUCCACCCGAGACUCAGUGAAAUUGAACUCGCUGUGAAGAUGCAGUGUACCCGCGGCAAGACGGAAAGACCCCGUGAACCUUUACUAUAGCUUGACACUGAACAUUGAGCCUUGAUGUGUAGGAUAGGUGGGAGGCUUAGAAGUGUGGACGCCAGUCUGCAUGGAGCCGACCUUGAAAUACCACCCUUUAAUGUUUGAUGUUCUAACGUUGACCCGUAAUCCGGGUUGCGGACAGUGUCUGGUGGGUAGUUUGACUGGGGCGGUCUCCUCCUAAAGAGUAACGGAGGAGCACGAAGGUUGGCUAAUCCUGGUCGGACAUCAGGAGGUUAGUGCAAUGGCAUAAGCCAGCUUGACUGCGAGCGUGACGGCGCGAGCAGGUGCGAAAGCAGGUCAUAGUGAUCCGGUGGUUCUGAAUGGAAGGGCCAUCGCUCAACGGAUAAAAGGUACUCCGGGGAUAACAGGCUGAUACCGCCCAAGAGUUCAUAUCGACGGCGGUGUUUGGCACCUCGAUGUCGGCUCAUCACAUCCUGGGGCUGAAGUAGGUCCCAAGGGUAUGGCUGUUCGCCAUUUAAAGUGGUACGCGAGCUGGGUUUAGAACGUCGUGAGACAGUUCGGUCCCUAUCUGCCGUGGGCGCUGGAGAACUGAGGGGGGCUGCUCCUAGUACGAGAGGACCGGAGUGGACGCAUCACUGGUGUUCGGGUUGUCAUGCCAAUGGCACUGCCCGGUAGCUAAAUGCGGAAGAGAUAAGUGCUGAAAGCAUCUAAGCACGAAACUUGCCCCGAGAUGAGUUCUCCCUGACUCCUUGAGAGUCCUGAAGGAACGUUGAAGACGACGACGUUGAUAGGCCGGGUGUGUAAGCGCAGCGAUGCGUUGAGCUAACCGGUACUAAUGAACCGUGAGGCUUAACCUUACAACGCCGAAGCUGUU